GGAGGGAUAAAACCCUUUCUAACCCUAGUUCAUCAAAUCACCAAGAUUGGAUGUGUAAAUUUCACCUAAUUUGAAUGCAUGUGAUCCAAUUCUCGACCAUCUAAGAGUCUCAUACAUUGGGUAAGUCAAAUUUUGUGAUUUGAUGCUAGUUAGUGAUAGAUUGAAAGAAGAAGGAGCUAGUUCCGGUUCACAAACAAAGGCUCAAGAUCGAGGUAAAGCACCCGUAUGAUUGUC
RNAcentral lists this long non-coding RNA (234 nucleotides) under Helianthus annuus (common sunflower). RNAcentral describes it as "sRNA HanXRQr2_Chr13g0581691". The record is from RNAcentral. Lineage: Eukaryota; Viridiplantae; Streptophyta; Magnoliopsida; Asterales; Asteraceae.